RNAcentral lists this ribosomal RNA (700 nucleotides) under uncultured bacterium. RNAcentral's name for it is "bacterial SSU rRNA". It matches the Rfam family "Bacterial small subunit ribosomal RNA", at positions 46 to 749 of the family's 1533-position model. The record is from RNAcentral.
GCUUACACAUGCAAGUCGAACGGGAUUUAGUAGACAGAAGCUUCGGUGGAAGAUUACUAAUGAGAGUGGCGAACGGGUGAGUAACGCGUGAGCAACCUGCCUAUGACAGUGGGAUAGCCUCGGGAAACCGGGAUUAAUACCGCAUAAAAUCGUAGAAACACAUGUUUCAACGGUCAAAGAUUUAUCGGUCAUAGAUGGGCUCGCGUCUGAUUAGCUAGUUGGUGAGAUAACAGCCCACCAAGGCGACGAUCAGUAGCCGGUCUGAGAGGAUGAACGGCCACAUUGGAACUGAGACACGGUCCAAACUCCUACGGGAGGCAGCAGUGGGGAAUAUUGCACAAUGGGGGAAACCCUGAUGCAGCGACGCCGCGUGAACGAAGAAGGUAUUCGUAUCGUAAAGUUCUGUCCUAUGGGAAGAUAAUGACAGUACCAUAGAAGAAAGCUCCGGCUAAAUACGUGCCAGCAGCCGCGGUAAUACGUAUGGAGCGAGCGUUGUCCGGAAUUAUUGGGCGUAAAGGGUACGCAGGCGGUUUAAUAAGUCGAAUGUUAAAGAUCGGGGCUCAACCCCGUAAAGCAUUGGAAACUGAUAAACUUGAGUAGUGGAGAGGAAAGUGGAAUUCCUAGUGUAGUGGUGAAAUACGUAGAUAUUAGGAGGAAUACCAGUAGCGAAGGCGACUUUCUGGACACAAACUGACGCUGA